Molecule: unclassified non-coding RNA, 261 nt
Filed under: plant metagenome
Description: partial contains small subunit ribosomal RNA, internal transcribed spacer 1, and 5.8S ribosomal RNA
Source: RNAcentral
UUUCCGUAGGUGAACCUGCGGAAGGAUCAUUAUUGUAUAACCGAGGUGCGAGGGCGGUCGCUGACCCGAAAGGUCGUGCACGCCCGAGUGUGUCCUCUUGCAUAAUAAUCCAUCUCACCCUUUGUGCAUCACCGCGUGGGCACCCUUCGGGAUCAUCUCGGGGGGGGGCUCGCGUUUUCACACAAACCCCCCUUUUAAAAGUGUAGAAUGACCACAUUUAUGCAAUCAAUACAACUUUCAACAACGGAUCUCUUGGCUCUC